This 72-nucleotide transfer RNA is filed under the name Candidatus Diapherotrites archaeon ADurb.Bin253. RNAcentral describes it as "tRNA-Arg". It matches the Rfam family "tRNA". From Rfam's summary of the family: Transfer RNA (tRNA) molecules are approximately 80 nucleotides in length. The record is from RNAcentral. RNAcentral also lists the same sequence under 1 other name. Lineage: Archaea; Nanobdellati; Candidatus Iainarchaeota.
GCCCCUGUAGUUCAAUGGAUAGAACCUCUCGUUGCGGUCGGGAAAAUCGGAGUUCGAAUCUUCGCGGGGGCG